RNAcentral lists this ribosomal RNA (495 nucleotides) under uncultured bacterium. Its description in RNAcentral is "partial 16S ribosomal RNA". It matches the Rfam family "Bacterial small subunit ribosomal RNA", at positions 28 to 507 of the family's 1533-position model. The record is from RNAcentral.
GACGAACGCUGGCGGCGUGCCUAAUACAUGCAAGUAGAACGCUGAAGGAGGAGCUUGCUUCUCUGGAUGAGUUGCGAACGGGUGAGUAACGCGUAGGUAACCUGCCUGGUAGCGGGGGAUAACUAUUGGAAACGAUAGCUAAUACCGCAUAAUAGUAGAUGUCGCAUGACAUUUGCUUAAAAGGUGCAAUUGCAUCACUACCAGAUGGACCUGCGUUGUAUUAGCUAGUUGGUGAGGUAACGGCUCACCAAGGCAACGAUACAUAGCCGACCUGAGAGGGUGAUCGGCCACACUGGGACUGAGACACGGCCCAGACUCCUACGGGAGGCAGCGGUAGGGAAUCUUCGGCAAUGGACGGAAGUCUGACCGAGCAACGCCGCGUGAGUGAAGAAGGUUUUCGGAUCGUAAAGCUCUGUUGUAAGAGAAGAACGAGUGUGAGAGUGGAAAGUUCACACUGUGACGGUAUCUGACCAGAAAGGGACGGCUAACUACGUG